Molecule: transfer RNA, 73 nt
Filed under: Merluccius polli (Benguela hake)
Lineage: Eukaryota; Metazoa; Chordata; Actinopteri; Gadiformes; Merlucciidae
Description: tRNA-Asp
Rfam family: tRNA
About the family: Transfer RNA (tRNA) molecules are approximately 80 nucleotides in length. Their secondary structure includes four short double-helical elements and three loops (D, anti-codon, and T loops).
Source: RNAcentral
UCCUCGUUAGUAUAGUGGUCAGUAUCCCCGCCUGUCACGCGGGAGACCGGGGGUCAAUUCCCCGACGGGGAGA